This 556-nucleotide ribosomal RNA is filed under the name uncultured bacterium. Its description in RNAcentral is "bacterial SSU rRNA". It matches the Rfam family "Bacterial small subunit ribosomal RNA", at positions 338 to 916 of the family's 1533-position model. The record is from RNAcentral.
CCUACGGGAGGCAGCAGUGGGGAAUCUUGCACAAUGGAGGAAACUCUGAUGCAGCGAUGCCGCGUGAGUGAAGAAGGCCUUUGGGUUGUAAAGCUCUUUUGUAGGGGAAGAUAAUGACUGUACCCUAAGAAUAAGGUCCGGCUAACUUCGUGCCAGCAGCCGCGGUAAUACGAAGGGACCUAGCGUAGUUCGGAAUUACUGGGCGUAAAGCGCGCGUAGGCCGUUGAGUUAGUUAAUUGUGAAAUCCCAAAGCUUAACUUUGGAACUGCAAUUAAAACUGCUCGACUAGAGUUUGAUAGAGGAAAGCGGAAUACAUAGUGUAGAGGUGAAAUUCGUAGAUAUUAUGUAGAACACCAGUUGCGAAGGCGGCUUUCUGGAUCAACACUGACGCUGAGGCGCGAAAGUAUGGGUAGCAAAGAGGAUUAGAUACCCUCGUAGUCCAUACCAUAAACGAUGAUUGCUAGAUGUUGGAAAUUUAUUUUCAGUAUCGCAGCUAACGCAUUAAGCAAUCCGCCUGGGGAGUACGACCGCAAGGUUAAACUUAAGGAAUUGACGG